GUGACGGCGUGCCUUUUGCAUAAUGAACCUACGAGUUACCAUCUCUGGCAAGGUUAAGAGUAAUGAUGCUCCCAGCCGCAGUGAAAGCGAGCCUGAACAGGGCGUUUGAGUCAGAGGGGGUAGACGCGAAACCAAGUGAUCUACACUUGACCAGGUUGAAGUUCCGGUAACACGGAAUGGAGGACCGCACCGAUAAGCGUUGAAAAGCUUCCGGAUGAGUUGAGUGUAGGAGUGAAAGGCCAAUCAAACUUGGAGAUAGCUCGUACUCCCCGAAAGGCAUUUAGGUGCCGCGUGUGGCGAUCUCCGUGAGAGGUAGAGCGACCGAUAGGUCAAGAGGGCUUCACCGCCUAUCGAGACCUGACGAACUCCGAAUGCUCACGGACUGCAGCCAUGCAGUAAGGGGGCGGGUGCUAAGGUCCGUCCCCGAGAGGAGAAGAAUCCAGACCGCCGUCUAAGGCCCCGAAAUUCUGUCUGAGUUAGUCUAACGAAGUCCGGUCCCCAUGACAGCUAGGAUGUUGGCUUGGAAGCAGCCAUUCAUUCAAAGAGUGCGUAACAGCUCACUAGUCGAGGGUCCGGGCAUGGAUAAUAAUCGGGUAUAAGUCAGAUGCCGAAGGCGCGGGAUAGCAAUGUAUAUUAAAAGUAUCGGUAGGGGAGCAUACCAUGUGCGCAGAAUGGUGAAGAUGACUGAUCCUGGAGCGCAUGGUAAAGCAAAUGUAGGUAUAAGUAACGACAAGAGGGGUAAGAUUCCCCUCCGCCGUAAGUCUAAGGUUUCCCGGGCAAUGCCAAUCAUCCCGGGGUAAGUCGGGUCCUAAGUCUCAGCCGAAUGGCGAAGGCGAUGGCAGAAACGGUCAACAUUCCGUUACUACCUUCAGGAGCGACGUGGAGACGGAGCAGUGACACUGCCGCGGGGCGACGGAAGUCCCCGUUGAAGAGCGUAGGCGUUGAUCGGAGCAGGCAAAUCCACUCCGAGAGCCGACCUUGACAGUACGGCCUCCCCUUCGGGGGAAGCUGACAGCGCAGGUAACCAUACUCCCGAGAAAAUCCGCUAAGCUUUAUCCUGUGGGUACCCGUACCGCAAUCCGACACAGGUAGACGGGUAGAACAUACUGAGGCGUUGAGAGAUUCAUGGUUAAGGAACUAGGCAAACUGACCCCGUAACUUCGGGAUAAGGGGUCCUCAUAGCAAUAUGAGGCGCAGAGAAUAGGUCCAGGCAACUGUUUAACAAAAACACAGGGCUGUGCAAACUCGAAAGAUGACGUAUACAGCCUGACACCUGCCCGGUGCCGGAAGGUUAAGAGGAGAGCUCAUCCCUUGAGGUGAAGGUUUGAAUUGAAGCCCCGGUAAACGGCGGCCGUAACUAUAACGGUCCUAAGGUAGCGAAAUUCCUUGUCGGGUAAGUUCCGACCUGCACGAAUGGUGUAAUGAUCCGGACGCUGUCUCAACCAUGAUCUCAGUGAAAUUGUAGUAUCGGUGAAGAUGCCGAUUACCCGCGAUGGGACGAAAAGACCCCGUGAACCUUUACUACAGCUUAGCAUUGA
RNAcentral lists this ribosomal RNA (1538 nucleotides) under Prevotella sp. HMSC069G02. RNAcentral's name for it is "bacterial LSU rRNA". It matches the Rfam family "Bacterial large subunit ribosomal RNA", at positions 593 to 2120 of the family's 2925-position model. The record is from RNAcentral. Lineage: Bacteria; Pseudomonadati; Bacteroidota; Bacteroidia; Bacteroidales; Prevotellaceae.